AAAUACCUGAAAAUGUUUCUCUGGUAGUUACAUGAGAUCAUAAAUUCUUCAAGAGGUAAGUUGAGAUAUAAGCAGCACCCUAUAUUGAAAAUUUUAUCUGUAAAUUUGCUGACUGCAAACUCCUUGAGGGCAGAUACUCCACCUCCUUCCCUGAUGUUUUGCUGCGCCAAUGUUAGUUUUGAACACAUUUGAUCCUUUAGAGGGCUUUUCCCUCAGGGAUACAAGUAUGAUGACAGGAGAAGAGAGGCCGCAACCACAGGUCUGCUUUCUGCAGGCCCGCUCUCUGAAUGUGAAAGUGCCAUCUCCUCUUGUCAGGAGUCUCCUCUAAAUGCAACUUCAUCAAGAACGGGCUGUCGUUUAAGCUAGCAUCAACUAACACAUUAGGAUAAGAGCCCUCUGAUGUGGACUAAUAACCAGUAAGGGCAGGAGUGGGUGGCACAGAGGCUAGGGGCCCAUUGCAGGGGGUGGGCAAAGGAGAUCAGAAAGGAACAGAGAGUGUGAGGGUACAAAAAUGAACCUGUUAUCUUUCAGUUCCCCAUGAGCUACUCUUAUCUAUUUUAUUCUGCAAAAUUUUCACAUCCAAAUGUACUUAGGAGGUGGAAUUCUGUGAAGAGGGUCUAAAUAAAAUGCAUCCUACUUAUUCUUCUGGAGCAUACCUUCUGAACCACAAAGCUUCCUUCCAAUUCCUUAAUCUCAACAUUUUUUUAAAGAAAUGAGUUUAAAUUCCGGCUUGAGUUUGAUUAAAAUGUGCCUUUGCUUCAGCUUUGUUACUUAUGCAGGCUUCCUGGCCAUGAAGGAGGAAAUUAAGGAAACUAUUCAAAUUAAGGAAACUAUUAUAUAACUUGGAUGUCUUCAAGCCUAACCACUCUGGAUGCUAAUGGCCAGUGUCACAUUGCAUUGAGUGGGGUGCUUGGUAUUCUGACUCAGAGAACUCUGUCCAGGAAAUGCUCAACCUUUGUGGACCAGCUGAAUGAUGGGUGUUGGUAACUGCUUUAUCCUUCCGGACAUUCUCAGCAACCAUUGCCU
This is a long non-coding RNA of Bos taurus (domestic cattle), 1026 nucleotides long. Lineage: Eukaryota; Metazoa; Chordata; Mammalia; Artiodactyla; Bovidae. The record is from Ensembl.